UUAAUAUUUGUGUCCUUCUCAAUUCUUAAGUUGAAAUCCUAAUCUCCAGUGGUGAUGGCAUUAUGAGGUGGGGGUCUUUGUGAGGUUAUUAGAUCAUGAGGAUAGACGCCUCAUGAAUGGAAUCAGUGACCUUAUAAAAGGUACUUCAGAGAGCUAGUCCCAUCCUCUUUCCUCCAAGUGAGGAUACAAGGAGAAGUUGGCCAUCUGCAACCUAGAAAAGGAACCUCACAGGAACCCUCCCAUGCUGGCACCUGAUCUUGGGCUUCCAGCCUCCAGAAUAGUUCAGUGUGCAGUGACAUUACCAUAACUCACUGUAACCUCAAACUCCUGGGCUGAAGCGAUCCUCCUGUCUCAUCCUCCCGAGAAAUUGAGAGUACAGUCAAUUAUUCUGCAGUAUGGAAGAUUUCCUCAAACAUGUAAGGGAAUACUGCAAAAUGUAAUCAUGGAAGCAUGGUGGUGUUAUCACUCUCCUGAUUCCUGAAGAAUAAUUAUAAUUGGAUGCAUGUUCAUCAAAGGACCAUCAACAAUCAACUUUUGCCAAAAGGUGACAAAGCCUACAUAUCUAUCAAUGAGUGAAUGGAUAAACAGAGAUUAUGGUAUGCACAAACAAUGGCAUAUUAUUCAGGCAUAAAAAGGAAUGAAGUACUGAUAUAUACUACAACAUGGAUGAGCCUCCAAAACUCUUUAAGAAAAGAAACCAGACAAAACAGAAAGUCACAUAUGGGGAAAAGCAAAGUGAGGUCAAAAGAGAAGGCUGCCACCUACCAGCCAGGAAGAGAGCCUUCACCAGAAAGAGACCCUGCUUGAGUUUCAUCGGGAAUUCCUAGCCUCCAUAUU
Non-coding RNA from Microcebus murinus (gray mouse lemur), 837 nucleotides. The record is from RefSeq and is a predicted model, not a curated record. Lineage: Eukaryota; Metazoa; Chordata; Mammalia; Primates; Cheirogaleidae.